This 429-nucleotide ribosomal RNA is filed under the name Verrucomicrobiota bacterium. RNAcentral describes it as "Verrucomicrobia bacterium partial 16S ribosomal RNA". It matches the Rfam family "Bacterial small subunit ribosomal RNA", at positions 355 to 776 of the family's 1533-position model. The record is from RNAcentral. Lineage: Bacteria; Pseudomonadati; Verrucomicrobiota.
UAGGGAAUCUUCCGCAAUGGACGAAAGUCUGACGGAGCAACGCCGCGUGAGUGAAGAAGGAUUUCGGUUCGUAAAACUCUGUUGUUAGGGAAGAAAAAAUGUAUAGUAAUUAUAUACAAAAGAGACGGUACCUAACCAGAAAGCCACGGCUAACUACGUGCCAGCAGCCGCGGUAAUACGUAGGUGGCAAGCGUUGUCCGGAAUUAUUGGGCGUAAAGCGCGCGCAGGUGGUUUAGAAAGUCUGAUGUGAAAGCCCACGGCUCAACCGUGGAGGGUCAUUGGAAACUAAUAAACUUGAGUGCAGGAGAGAAAAGUGGAAUUCCUAGUGUAGCGGUGAAAUGCGUAGAGAUUAGGAGGAACACCGGUGGCGAAAGCGGCUUUUUGGCCUGCAACUGACACUGAGGCGCGAAAGCGUGGGGAGCAAACAGG